RNAcentral lists this transfer RNA (74 nucleotides) under Methanothermobacter tenebrarum. Its description in RNAcentral is "tRNA-Thr". It matches the Rfam family "tRNA". From Rfam's summary of the family: Transfer RNA (tRNA) molecules are approximately 80 nucleotides in length. Their secondary structure includes four short double-helical elements and three loops (D, anti-codon, and T loops). The record is from RNAcentral. RNAcentral also lists the same sequence under 1 other name. Lineage: Archaea; Methanobacteriati; Methanobacteriota; Methanobacteria; Methanobacteriales; Methanobacteriaceae.
GGCCUUAGUAGCUCAGUGGUAGAGCGCUGCCUUGGUAAGGCAGAGGUCGGGGGUUCAAAUCCCCCCUAAGGCUU